UACGGAGGGGGCCAGCGUUGCUCGGAAUUAUUGGGCGUAAAGGGCGCGUAGGCGGUCUGGUAAGUUUGAUGUGAAAUCCCAUGGCUCAACCAUGGAACUGCAUCUCAUACUGCCGGACUUGAGUCUGGGAGAGGGAAGUGGAAUUCCCGGUGUAGCGGUGAAAUGCGUAGAUAUCUGGAGGAACACCGGUGGCGAAGGCGGCAUCCUGGACCGGUAUUGACGCUGAGGCGCGAAAGCUAGGGGAGCAAACGGG
RNAcentral lists this ribosomal RNA (253 nucleotides) under uncultured bacterium. RNAcentral's name for it is "partial 16S ribosomal RNA". It matches the Rfam family "Bacterial small subunit ribosomal RNA", at positions 524 to 776 of the family's 1533-position model. The record is from RNAcentral.